This 253-nucleotide ribosomal RNA is filed under the name uncultured bacterium. Its description in RNAcentral is "partial 16S ribosomal RNA". It matches the Rfam family "Bacterial small subunit ribosomal RNA", at positions 524 to 776 of the family's 1533-position model. The record is from RNAcentral.
UACAGAGGGGGCAAGCGUUGUUCGGAAUUACUGGGCGUAAAGGGCGCGUAGGCGGCCUGUUAAGUCGAACGUGAAAUCCCCGGGCUCAACCCGGGAACUGCGUCCGAUACUGGCAGGCUUGAAUCCGGGAGAGGGAUGCGGAAUUCCAGGUGUAGCGGUGAAACGCGUAGAUAUCUGGAGGAACACCGGUGGCGAAGGCGGCAUCCUGGACCGGCAUUGACGCUGAGGCGCGAAAGCCAGGGGAGCAAACGGG